AAUGCCACAGUCCUCAAGACCAUUGGCCCAGGGAAGCCUGGGUGAGGUGAAGUUGACCCAGCACGAACUCACUGGGACUCAGGUGGCUGUAAAAAUAAAAUCUAUAACUAGGGGCUCCCCCAGCCUUCUGAGUCUACACAGAAAGGUAGACGUCAUGAAGGCCCUGAGUGUCCCAUCAUAAUAAAGCCAUAUCAUGUCAUUGAAACCUCAGACAUCCCAUACUGAGCUAUGGUGAUACUCAUAGUGAAGACCUUUUCCACCAAACACUCCAGCCUGGCCACAUGGAGAAGGAGGAGGCUCAAGCCAUGUUUCUGCAAAUACUAUCUGCCCUGUAGUACUGCCACCAAAGUCAGCCGCCAGGACCUGGGUGGCAGGACUCCUGCAUGAAGAGCACAACAUGAAAAGAGCUGACUUUGGCUUCAGCACCACAUAUUCCCAAGGCCAGAAGCUGAGCGCCUUUGGUGGGACUCCCCUUAAGCUGCCCCAGAACUCUUCCUGGGCCACGAGUAUCACAGCCCUGCAGUGGUCGUGUGGGUCUUGGCUCUCCCGUCUACCACAUGGGGCCAGGGCCCUGCCAUUUGGCAGGCAGAACUUCUCAGCCUCAAAAAAACAUACUCAAGGAAAAUAUGUACUGUCUAUAUUCCUUCCGAAUUGAAAUAUUUAUCAAGAAAUUUCUGAUCCUUGACCCCAGAGAAUGACCCACAGAGGACCAGCUGAUGCGGGACCCCUGGGUCAAUGCUGGCCAGGGAACCCUUGGGCCACACAUAGAGCUGCUCCCCAGUCACCUGGGCCCCCUAACAACCUGACUCUUGGUAGCCGUGACAUUCUAGGCACAUCAAGGAAUCCCCAGUAGGAAAAAAUAUAUAUAUAAUUAUUCCAUGGCCACCUACCUAAUCC
RNAcentral lists this long non-coding RNA (897 nucleotides) under Homo sapiens (human). RNAcentral describes it as "non-protein coding lnc-KIAA1257-5:1". Lineage: Eukaryota; Metazoa; Chordata; Mammalia; Primates; Hominidae. The record is from RNAcentral.